RNAcentral lists this ribosomal RNA (442 nucleotides) under uncultured bacterium. Its description in RNAcentral is "partial 16S ribosomal RNA". It matches the Rfam family "Bacterial small subunit ribosomal RNA", at positions 338 to 795 of the family's 1533-position model. The record is from RNAcentral.
CCUACGGGUGGCAGCAGUGGGGAAUAUUGGGCAAUGGGCGCAAGCCUGACCCAGCAACGCCGCGUGAAGGAAGAAGGCUUUCGGGUUGUAAACUUCUUUUAAGGGCGAGGAGCAGAAGACGGUACCCCUUGAAUAAGCCACGGCUAACUACGUGCCAGCAGCCGCGGUAAUACGUAGGUGGCAAGCGUUGUCCGGCUUUACUGGGUGUAAAGGGCGUGCAGCCGGAGAGACAAGUCAGAUGUGAAAGCCACGGGCUCAACCCGUGAACUGCAUUUGAAACUGUUUCCCUUGAGUGUCGGAGAGGUAAGCAGAAUUCCUUGUGUAGCGGUGAAAUGCGUAGAUAUAAGGAAGAACACCAGGGGCGAAGGCGGAUUACUGGACGAUAACUGACGGUGAGGCGCGAAAGCGUGGGGAGCAAACAGGAUUAGAUACCCCAGUAGUC